Molecule: transfer RNA, 72 nt
Filed under: Sarcophilus harrisii (Tasmanian devil)
Lineage: Eukaryota; Metazoa; Chordata; Mammalia; Dasyuromorphia; Dasyuridae
Rfam family: tRNA
About the family: Transfer RNA (tRNA) molecules are approximately 80 nucleotides in length. Their secondary structure includes four short double-helical elements and three loops (D, anti-codon, and T loops).
Source: Rfam by way of RNAcentral
GGCAAUAUAGCAUAAUGGAUGAAGAACCAGCCUUAGAAGCAGGAAACAGGGGUUCAAGUCCUCUUUCUGACA